RNAcentral lists this ribosomal RNA (491 nucleotides) under uncultured bacterium. Its description in RNAcentral is "bacterial SSU rRNA". It matches the Rfam family "Bacterial small subunit ribosomal RNA", at positions 15 to 518 of the family's 1533-position model. The record is from RNAcentral.
GAUCCUGGCUCAGAACGAACGCUGGCGGCGUGCUUAACACAUGCAAGUCGAGUGCGCGGUGCCGUAGCAAUACGGUACUGGCGCACGGCGCACGGGUGCGUAACACGUGGGUAACCUGCCCUUUGAUGGGGAAUAACCCCGCGAAAGCGGGGCUAAUUCCGCAUAAGAUCCGCAAGGAUGAAAGCCGUAAGGCGUCGAAGGAGGGGCCCGCGCACGAUUAGCUAGUUGGUAGGGUAAUGGCCUACCAAGGCUAUGAUCGUUAGCUGGUCUGAGAGGAUGGCCAGCCACACUGGAACUGAGACACGGUCCAGACUCCUACGGGAGGCAGCAGUGGGGAAUCUUGCACAAUGGGCGAAAGCCUGAUGCAGCGACGCCGCGUGGGGGAUGAAGCUUCUCGGAGUGUAAACCCCUUUCGACCCGGACGAAUACCUCGCAAGAGGGGUGACGGUACGGGUAUAAGAAGCCCCGGCUAACUACGUGCCAGCCGCCGC